GAUUCGAAGAAAAGAAGGCCCGGACGGAAACGCCCGGGCCUUUUUCUUUUCGCGUUCGAUUUUUCUCUUUCGAU
This 74-nucleotide unclassified non-coding RNA is filed under the name Paraburkholderia piptadeniae. Its description in RNAcentral is "ctRNA_p42d". The record is from RNAcentral. Lineage: Bacteria; Pseudomonadati; Pseudomonadota; Betaproteobacteria; Burkholderiales; Burkholderiaceae.